RNAcentral lists this ribosomal RNA (432 nucleotides) under uncultured bacterium. RNAcentral describes it as "partial 16S ribosomal RNA". It matches the Rfam family "Bacterial small subunit ribosomal RNA", at positions 29 to 506 of the family's 1533-position model. The record is from RNAcentral.
AACGAACGCUGGCGGCAUGCCUAACACAUGCAAGUCGAACGAGACCUUCGGGUCUAGUGGCGCACGGGUGCGUAACGCGUGGGAACCUGCCCUUAGGUUCGGAAUAACUCCCCGAAAGGGGUGCUAAUACCGGAUAAUGUCUUCGGACCAAAGAUUUAUCGCCUUUGGAUGGGCCCGCGUUGGAUUAGCUAGUUGGUAGGGUAAAAGCCUACCAAGGCGACGAUCCAUAGCUGGUCUGAGAGGAUGAUCAGCCACACUGGGACUGAGACACGGCCCAGACCCCUACGGGGGGGAGCAGGGGGGAAUAUUGGACAAUGGGCGAAAGCCUGACCCAGCAAUGCCGGGGGAGUGAUGAAGGCUUUAGGGUUGUAAAGCUCUUUUACCCGGGAUGAUAAUGACAGUACCGGGAGAAUAAGCCCCGGCUAACUCCGU